AAAGAGGAAACUGAAGCUGAAA
Molecule: microRNA, 22 nt
Filed under: Gallus gallus (chicken)
Lineage: Eukaryota; Metazoa; Chordata; Aves; Galliformes; Phasianidae
Description: gga-miR-1630
Source: miRBase by way of RNAcentral